Molecule: long non-coding RNA, 807 nt
Filed under: Chrysolophus pictus (golden pheasant)
Lineage: Eukaryota; Metazoa; Chordata; Aves; Galliformes; Phasianidae
Description: lncRNA (ENSCPIG00010006805.1)
Source: RNAcentral
CGGCACGGCACCAUCUUGGGAGGGGGGGGAGGAAGGGGCGGGCCGCGGGCGGUGCCGGCGGAGCUGCGGGCCCUGCGCGGCGCUCAGGUACCUCCGCGGGCAGGGGGCGGCCGGCGGCGCGUCCCGGUGGUCGUGCGCGGGGGAGGGGAGGGGAGGCGAGGCGAGGCGAGGCGGCCGGCGGUCCCGCCGCCUGUCAGACCCCACCGGCCGUCGUGGCGAGAGGCCUCCCUGCCCGGCUCCGCGGCGCUGAGGGGGCGAGGCCCGGGCCGCCUCGCUCCGCCGCCUGCCCCGGGGGCGGCUUUCCUCUUCCCGUCGUGCGCGGGCGGAGGGGCCGCGUGUGUGGGAGCCGGGCCGGAGGUCCCUUCCUGCCUCCUUCUGUCCGGUUGUCCCGUCUGGCUCUCACCCCUCGCUCCGUGCGCGACCGCAGGGACGGACCCCGCGCUUCCCCCUUCGGUCCCUGCGUUGCUCUCAGCCUUCCGCUGCGUUCUGACCGCGUUCAUGGAAUUCGCUCGCUUCCCCUUCCUCUAUUCGUGCGGCUUUCAGCCGGAGAUAACUGGGCAGGAAGGGAAGAGCCCGUUCAGACUCGUGUUUGUGAGAGCGGUGGUUUCGCGGCGUGCCCGCAGGGCUCGGCCUUCGGAGGGCCGAGGGGUGACGUGCAGCUCUGAGGCCGCUGUGCUGGCUGCUCUCAGAGGGAAGGAAGAACCAGGCAACAUCUACCUGCCCGCUUUCAACCUGAAGCUGCCGUGUAUGAUUGAUGAAGCGAUAGAUGUCCAUGCCCAGCAGCACAUAGUCAUGUUGGGAUGCUAA